GUAGGGAAUAUUGGGCAAUGGAUGCAAGUCUGACCCAGCCAUCCCGCGUGCCGGAAGAAGGCCCUCAGGGUUGUAAACGGCUUUUGACGGUGAAGAAUCGACAGGAUGCGUCCUGUUUUGACGGUAGCCGUUGAAUAAGCACCGGCUAACUCCGUGCCAGCAGCCGCGGUAAUACGGAGGGUGCGAGCGUUGUCCGGAUUUAUUGGGUUUAAAGGGUGCGUAGGCUGGAAGGUCAGUCAGCGGUGAAAAGCUGUCGCUUAACGAUAGUCUUGCCGCAGAUACUUCCUUUCUUGGAUGAGGAGGAGGCCACUGGAACGGAUGGUGUAGCGGUGAAAUGCAUAGAUAUCAUCCAGAACACCGAUUGCGAAGGCAGGUGGCUGUACCUUAAUCGACGCUGAUGCACGAAAGCAUGGGGAGCAAACAGGAUUAGAAACCCUUGUCC
RNAcentral lists this ribosomal RNA (442 nucleotides) under uncultured bacterium. RNAcentral's name for it is "partial 16S ribosomal RNA". It matches the Rfam family "Bacterial small subunit ribosomal RNA", at positions 354 to 796 of the family's 1533-position model. The record is from RNAcentral.